Molecule: ribosomal RNA, 253 nt
Filed under: uncultured bacterium
Lineage: Bacteria
Description: partial 16S ribosomal RNA
Rfam family: Bacterial small subunit ribosomal RNA
Source: RNAcentral
UACGUAGGGUGCGAGCGUUGUCCGGAUUUAUUGGGCGUAAAGAGCUCGUAGGCGGUUUGUCGCGUCGGCCGUGAAAUCUCCACGCUUAACGUGGAGCGUGCGGUCGAUACGGGCAGACUUGAGUUCGGUAGGGGAGACUGGAAUUCCUGGUGUAGCGGUGAAAUGCGCAGAUAUCAGGAGGAACACCGGUGGCGAAGGCGGGUCUCUGGGCCGAUACUGACGCUGAGGCGCGAAAGCCAGGGAGGCGAACGGG